UGAAAUCCCGUCCUGCCCCCUCAGGACUUUGCGCAUCUGUCAGGGAAGGUUUCGGGAUGAUUGGGUUAUGAAUUUGGCCCAUAGUUCUCUGCUUCCAUGUGAUUGCAUACGAAGGAGAAUUACAGACAAGGAAGAAAUUGCUGCUCUUUGGGGUCUUUUUUUUUUUUUUUUUUUUUUUGCGUGUUUCCCAGAAGAGGGCAGCAUCUCCCUAAGAUUUCUCUCAUCCGGUGGUGCAGCCCUUCCUGGCAGUCUUAGAAGGAAUAGUGGAUUCAUUGGUAGCAGAAAAUGGUCUCAGGUCCCUCCAUUCGGAUUCACGGGGGAAGGGGAUAGCCAUGGGAGAAGGUGUGUGUUGGGGGGUGGGGUGGUUUGGGGGAGGUGGCCUGCUCCCUGGGGAACAAGCUUUUUCAGAAGGUCACUUGCCCACAGUGGCUUAAGAACACGGUCCCAUCAGAAGGCAUUAGUGGGUGUUUGGAAACCUGGCAAAGCUUUUGUGCCCUGAAGCCGGAAGGUGAGAGUGCAAGGUAGUAGGUAGAGGGCAAUCUGGCUGGAACCUUCUGCCGGGCCCAUCCUCAUCAGUCUGGGCACCAGGAGAGCACACAGUUGCUUCUAAGGCAGGACUUUGGUGGGCAGGUGGGUGACUCAGUCACUCAGCUAGUUAGAGUUAGGACAAGCCCUGGGAUCUGCUAACAUCUGUCCACCCCUCCCCCACCACUAGGAAGGGACAAGGUCAAAGGUAGUGUCUGAACUUCAUUCCCACCAACACCGGUCCCACCGGUUCUCGCCAAAAUUAGAGACAUGGUAGGGCCCCGGGCCAUUGACUUGUCUUCACUUUUUAGUAAACAACCAGGAAGGCAGAUGGGGGAGACCUCACGGGUGGAAAUCGAUGCUCGUGGACAGUUGCCUGAUCUCUGGGUCAGGUGGUGAACGCGUCAGCCAGGCAGGGGCGCAGCAGGCCAGGGAGGGACUCAAGGGCGGGGUUCCUGGGGCUGUCUUCCUCCGUGCUCUCUUUUCUCUUCUGGAUGUCUUUAUCUGCGGGCAGCAUGUUUGCUGGAAACAAAAGAGCAGCAGCUAGAAGCGCCUUUCAAGUUUGGAACUGAAAGGAUCUGAAGUUGGUGGAGGGAGAGGAUCAGGUGGGGUGAGGUAGGUGGCGUGGUCCCGUGUGCCUGAAUGACCGCACUCAGCGACACCCUCCCAAACUAGCCCAGAUUCCCUAACUCUGUUCUUGCGUCCAGGGCAAUGGGGACUGACGUUAAGAAAGCCUUCAGUGUCGGAAGUGUCGUUCUCCCUCGGUGAAGCCCUGACCUUGCUUUAGCAGGAGACCAGCCUUACCGUGCGACACCCCAGGAAGCACGUUUACCCUGUAUGCUGGGCAAGUGGACGAAGGCAAAAGCCUCCUUCCCUUCCACGCCUCUGGCUGGAGACCUCUGUGCGUGCAGGGAAAUCAGCACAGUUGCUUGCAAGCCUCAGAAGGCUAGCCUGUGCUCCGAGACUGCGCCUUGGUUUACAUUUGCCUCUUCUGGCUCCUCCGGAUCAGCAUUCACUCUGCAUUUCCUGGUCUUUGUGGUUCGUCAGCCCCUUAACGUUGCUUUAGCUUCACUGGCGUGUUGUGUGUGAGGAUGAUUUAUGAGUAAGAAGCCUCCCAACCUCUGGCAUGCUGGAACUGUUCCUUGAAUGUGGCUCCGUUGUGAGCUGCUGUCAUCACAACUUAUAUCAAAAGCAUCUCUUGCCCCCAGGACAUGACUGUGUUUUGAAAGCAUUUCUGUCCUAUGUUGCUUGUGCAGAUAUCUGGGAGAAAGCUUCUUCCAUUUCUGUUCAGUUUGUGGAGAAGGGUUUUAGCGAUGCCUCUGUCGUACAGUCUUCAGCCCUGAAGCUCUUACUGUCUAGGCUCUGGUCCCAGUUCCACUGCCAAGCUGCCGGGCAACCUUGGACAAGUCACUGCCAUGUUUAACACCUCAUCUCACCAGCUUCAUAUUUUAUCUCUGGAAGCAGAAAGAAAAUGAAGUUUUCUGCCAGUAGGCUGAGAAAAGUCGUUCCAAAUACAAACUGAAUAGGAUCAGAGAAUCAAGGAAGCACACGCUCAUGGAGGUUGGUGAGUCAGCAGAAAAAUAUUGCCAUUUCGGGUGUCCAUCUGCCUAUGUUUAACUCUUCAUCUGAGGAAGGGGUGAAGUGUUGGAAAGUGUUGAAUAUCGGCAAAAAUGGGAAAUGAGAUCAAAGCCUCAGACCUUUGGGACAGGACAUACCACUGCUGGCCCUUGUGAGGACAGCUGCUCUGACAGCUGUGCCCUCCAGAAUAUGCUGUGGGCAUCAGCCUGGCAGCAGGGUCCCUGGCUGUGCCUGAUACCCAAUAGGGAUGCUGUAAAUAUCUGGGAAGUGAGUGGACAAGUGACUGUCCCUGGUUUGGGCUGGUGCCACUUAGAGGGCAUCCAGAGUGCAGUGGAGGGCGGGGCUUGGGCAAGAGGGACAUUCCUGCUGCUGGAUCAUGGUGAGAGUGACACUUCAGGAGAGCCUAAUCCUUUGGAAAGCCCUGUGCUUUAGUCCUGCGCUGACACCCCAGCCCACGAUGGAGAGCCAGCUCCAAUGGCAUGCAGAGAUGCACGGAGUCAAAGAGGCAACCAGAGGGAAGGAAGGGACACAGCUUCUGCAAGUUGGUGCUGAACGAGACCCAAGACUCACGUUCAAGACAGCCCAUAAACCCAGCACCAAGGAAAAUUCUGCCUCUGCUUCUUUCUCUUCCAUUGGACCCUCUUGGGCUGCCCUUUUUUUUUCUUUUUUUUAAAACGUGCCUCAGAGAACUUUCUUUAGGGAUAGUUGAAAUAUUUCCCCAUUUUUAUUUUAUUUAUUUUUAAAAUUUAUUUAUUUUAUUUAUUUGGCUGCAUUGGGUCUUCGUUGCUGCAUGUGGGCUUUCUCUAGUUGCAGUGAGCGGGGGCUACUCUUCGUUGGGGCAUGGGCUUCAGUAGUUGUGGAGCACGGGCUUCAGUAGUUGUGGCUCGCGGGCUUAGUUGCUCCACGGCAUGUGGGAUCUUCCCGGACCAGGGCUCGAACCUGUGUCCCCUGCAUUGGCAGGAGGAUUCUUAACCACUGGGCCACCAGGGAAGUCCCUUGGGCUGCCCUUUUAUGUCUUCAUUUCCCUUGACCUAGGGAAAAUUGACUUUUGCAUGGAGUAUAGAGCCCUAUGAGUUUUAACAUAUAUAGAAUCAUGUAACUGCCACUAUAAUCAGGAUACAGGACAAUUCUACAACCCUAAAGAGCUGCCUUAUGCUACCCCAUUGUAGGUUCUCUUCCCCCAUGUCCCCAGCCUCUGGCAAUCACUGACCUUUUCUCCAUCACUGUAAUUUUGUCUUUUGAGAAUGUGUCAUAUGAAUGAAAUCACACAGGGUGUAACCUGAAACUAGCUUCUUUCAUUCAGCAUAACGCCCUUGAGAUCCACCCGAGUUGUUGUGUGUAUCCACACUUCUUCAUUAUUAUUCUUUUUAUGACUGAGUACCAUUCCGUCGUAUGAAUGGACCACUGUUUGUUUAUCCAUUCACCUGUUGAAGGGCUUUGGGGUUAUUUCCAGUUUUGGGUGAUUAUGAAUGGAGCUGCUAUAAGUAUGUAUAUACAGGUUUUUAUGUGAAUAGGAAUUUUCACUUCUCUCUGUCAAAUACCUAGAAGCGGGGUUACUAAGUCGUAAGAUAUGUUUAACUCUAUAGGAAACUGCUAACCUGUUUUCAAGAGUGGCUGUGAUGUUUUGUAUUCCCACCAGCAGAGUGUGAGAGCUCCAGUUCCUUUGCAUUCUUGUCAGCACUUAAUACUGUCAGCACUUUUUUAUUGAGCCAUUCUAAUAGCACAUGUUUUUAAUUUGAGUUUCUCUUAAUGGCUGUGAUUUUGAGCAUCUCUGCAUGUGUCUAGUUUCCAUCCAUUUUUCCCUGUGGUGAAGUAUUUCUUCAAACCUUUCCCACAUUUUUAAACUGGUUUGUUUUUUCUCCUUAUAAUUGAAUUCUGAGAGUUCUCUGUAUAUUCUGAAUAUAAGUCCUUUAUCAGAGUUAUGUUUUUCAAAUUGUUUCUCUUAAUGUGCCUUUUCAUUCUUUUAACAGUGAAUUUCAAAGAGCAGAAGUACUUAAUUAUGAUAAAAUCCAGUUUCACAGUGUUUUAUUUUAGGGGUCUUGCUUUGGUGUUUUAUCUCAGAAAUCCACGUCUAACCCAAGAUUACAAAGGUUUUGUCCUAUGUUUUCUUAUAGAAUUUUUAAGUUUUUAAGUUAAUCUUUAAGGUUUUAAGUUUUACCUUUAGGUCUAUUGAUCCACUUUGAGUUGAUUCUUAUAUGUGGUGUCAGUCAUUGAUGGAAGUUCAUUUUUUUGCAUACGCAUAUCCAAUUAUUCCAACACCAUUUGUUAAAAGUACUAAUCUUUCUCCAUUGAAUUGUCUUUGAAACUUGGUCAAAAAUCAUUUGAUCAUCCAUGUGUGGGUUUAUUUCUAAACUCUCUAUUCCACUUCAUUCAACUAUUUGCCAAUCACUAAAAAUACCUCAUUGUCUUGAUUACUAUAGCCUUAUAAGAAGUUUUGAAACCAGGGAGUGUAAGCCCUCCAACUUGGUUCUCCUUUUUCAUAGUUGUUUUGAUUAUUCUCAUUCCUUUAUCUUUACAUAUGAAUUUUGAAAUUAGCUUGUCAGUGUCUUAAAAAAAAAGGCUGUGCUGGGAUUUUGAUUGGCAUUGUCAUCUUUACUAUUUGAGUCUGUCUUCCCAUUUAAAUCUUCUUUGAUUUCUUCUAUCUGCAUUUUGUAGCAUGCAGAUCCUAUUCAUGCUUUGUUAGAUUUAUACCUAAAUAUGCUCGGGCUUUGGAGCUAUUAUAAAUUAUAUAUAUGUAAAUUAUACACAUAUGUAUACAGAUAUAUUUAAUUUCAGUUUUCAAUUGUUCAUUGCUGAUAUCUGGAAAUAUGAUUUAUUUUUGUGUGUUGACCUUGUAUGCUGUGACCUUGCUAAGUUUGUUUAUUAGUUCUAGAAAUUUUUUGCAGGUUCCUUGGGAUUUUCUACAUAGGCAAUCAUAUAAUCUGCAAAUAGUGAUAACUUUCUCCAUGUCCAAUCUAGAUAACUUUCUUUUCUUUUUCUUUAUUGCACUAAGAAUGCCUGUAUGAUGUUGAAUAGAAGUGAUGAGAAUGGACAUCUUUGCCUUGCUCCUGAUCUUAGACCAGCAGCAUUCUGUCUUUCACCAUUAAGUAUAAUGUUAGCUACUGGCUUUUUUGUAGAUGUCCUGCAUCAGGUGAGGACGUUUCCUGCUAUUCCUGGCUUGCUGAAACUUUGUCCUAUGCAUGGAUAUUGAGAAUGCCUUCAGUUGAGAGGAUGCUCAAGAAGACAAGAUAUCUUGAGAAACUGCAAGAAAUGUUAUGGGGAGAAGUGGGGAAGAAGAGAGGAAAGUUUUCAGGCUAGUUGGACUCUGGAAAUUCCAGUCCCCCCCCCCUUACUCAUACUGGGACCCCAAGUUGCAAGUGAAAGCAAGAAGUAGGAGGAGAGUGAGGCAGAAAAUGUAGUGAAAUGUAUCUUGGGAAAGGAGAACUGCUGAUGCAUUCCUGGCAUUCAACACAAAUUAGAGGCCAACCUAAGUCACAUAAGGAUUUAGGUAGGAGGGUCUCUGAGCAUCCAUGGGGGCAGUAGAUAUCUUGGAUUUUGGGACUAGAAGCAUUCCUAGAGAUCUACUGGUCCAACCCCCUGAUUUAAAAAAUUAGGAAAUUGAGACUCCAAGAGGGAAGUGACUUUACCUUAGAGUCAUCUAGCAGGCUAGUAGCUGAAGUGGCUCUGAAACUUAGGACUGGGACUUCCAGAAGGGAUCUCUCAUCUCUUCCUCCUAUUGAUGGAGACUGAGACCCCAAACAGGGACAGGAACACAGAAUCAGAGCAGCGUCAUGGUCUCUAGACCCCAAUGGAGAAAGGAGAAAGUUGGUAAACAUAGCCAUUCCUAAUCCAAACCUGGAAAGGUCAGAUUACGUACUUACUGAUAGUAUAAUGAUUAUAAGCAACAUUAACUGAGCACGUACGUGCCAGGCACUGUUCUACAUGCUCAACUGCUUUAAUCCCUUCAACGGUGCUAUGAAGUAGGUGCCAGUGUUAUUUCUGGUUUAUAACUGUGAAAACUAAGGCGCAAGAGAGGUUAGCGAAGCUGCUUAAGGUGGCACAGUCAAUAAAUGGCAAAAGUGGAAUUAAAUCUAGGUGACCUAAGUUCAGAGCCAGCCACUUAGCCAUAUGCUAAAAUGUUUCAAUGCAGACUGAACACCACUUAGGUGCUCCAGUCCUAAUUCCUCACACAGAAAAGCAUUCCACACCUGAUGGAACCAGAUUUAUUGCCACCUCCAGCCACCUGGUACCUGCGCAUCAGAAAACUUGAGCAUCCUGUCUUCGAGGUGGGCCUCAGGACACAAAGCCUGUGUGCUGCCUUUGAAAGGAAAAAGUCUAGUGGUUCUAGAAACCACUCAUGCUGAAAAGAAAGCUGGCUGCUGACCCCAAGUACCAGUGUUCCCUUCUCCCGCUUACUCUAGUGCUGUUGGCAGUGCGCCAGGGUCUCUAAAGCACACUCACCCUCCAUUCUUUUAUAAUUCUGUUCCACCAUUGUUAGUCUUCUGGGUAUUACCCAGUGCCCAUAAAGCAUAUUAAAUUAAUUUCUGCUUCCUCACUUGACAUUUAUAUUUGAGAAGCAACUCUGUGAUGGGGCAGGGAGGUUGCCUGGAAAAAUGCUAAAUUAAUAUCCAGUUGAGAGAUGGGUACCAGCUUCUUUUGAUUACAUAAGAUAUGUGCCUCUUCAAUUGUCUGAUCAUAACUGCCUACUGUCAGUUGGAACAGAAGCUAACUGCCCUCUCUAGGAAUCAGAUGAUCUGAUCAGAAUCAGAAGGCUUUCUUCAAAGAGGAUAGACUCAGGGUUUUCCUCAUGCUUUCUAUAGCCAUGUCCCUGUUGAGUACUGAUCAAUAUGGCAAGGAAGGUUCCUUCACAUUCCCUUCAACAAAGACUUAUGGAAAGUAGGAAGGAGGGCGGUCCAAGAGAGGGACCAAUCACAGCAUCCCUCACAUCAAUGUUUGCCAUGUAUUACAUUGUAUUUCCCGAGCCACCUGCUUGAUUUCAUCUUGUAGAGGUUGGUGUUGCCAUUGUGUCCUCUUGAACUCACCCUGACUGCUAGGAAUGGCCAUGGGAUAGUGUGGAGGUGGGUGAGAUAGUGAGGCACACACUGGAACAGUCUCCCCAGAGAGUUGCCAUAGCUGCGAUACUUCCCAUUUCCAUUGUUUCCUUACAUUUCAAAGUAUUUUUACAUGUGCUAUUUACAUAUACAUUCACCAGAUGUUCACUGAAUGUCUACUGUGUACCACGUCCAUAUCUCAGGGCAAACAGUUAGGAUACAGUAGUAAUAAAUACAAACGAAAGAAGUUUGUCCUCAUGAACUUACGUAGAGCAGAAGUUAUCUCAAAUGCUUCUCAUUAUGAUGCGUCAGGGAGGCUGGACCAAGAGCUAUGAGUCUCCUCUAUGAUUAAGAUAAACCGAGGCUCAGAGAAGUUAAAUGUCCUAAUUAAGUGUACACAGCUAGAUAGUGGCAGAGCCUGGAAAGCCCAGACCACCUAAAUCCUUCGCUAUUACUCUUUCCGGCAUAAUAUUCUCUCUUGACUUGCACCAUGAAGGCCCUGCUAGAACCUCAUGAAGUCAUUUUGGUCAUCACCUUCCAUUUCCUGUCCCCCAUUCAAGCCUCUCGGCAGCACCACAUGUCAAGAGAAGAGGGUUUUGCAUGUUCCCACGGCACCCACCCAUUCCAACAAAUCACAGCUCCCUCUUCCUUGAAAUUCUGUUGUGUCUUGAAUUUAAACUCUUCAUGCUACGAGCUCAUUACUUCCCGUCUUCCUCCAUUCUCCGUGGAAGUGAAGUGAGGCAUCUUUGAUGGACCUGAGGACAAUCCCCAAAGCUCCUCCUCUCUGGAGCCAUUGACAGAUGUCUACCUCCAGUCCUGACUUGUUUUGUCUCAAUUAAUCAGCAAACUGUAGUGAGGGUUUAGUCAUUUUCACCCCUAUUUUAGUUCCUCUUAUAGAGUUAAAAUGACUGUUUUACCUAUCAGACCAAAAUUUAAUGGCUAAAACAAGAUUUAAGAAGUAAUAUCACCUAUAUGCGGAAUCUAAAUUUUAAAAAAUGACACAAAUGAAAUUACUUACAAAACAGAAACAGGCACACAGACUUCAAGAACAAACUUUUGGUUACCAAGGGUAAAGGGUGGGUGGAGGGAUAGACUGGGAGUUUGGGAUUGACAUGUACACACUGCUAUAUUUAAAAUAGAUGACCAACAAGGACCUACUGUACAGCACAGGGAAUUCUGCUCAAUAUUCUGUAAUAACCUAAAUGGGAAAAGAGUUUGAAAAAGAAGUAACUCUGGGACCAGUUGAUAAGUUCACAGAGGGGGGAUUUCAUGGUUUGUUGUUAGAAUGAGGUUUUGGCAAGCUUCAGUCCAGCAAACAGUCUUUUAAAAAAAGAAACUAGACCAAAAAAAUGUUCAGAGGAGUUUUAACAUAAUAGAAAGAGAUGAGAAUUCAAGUCAAAACCAGAGUCAGUCUCAGCUCUGCUGUUUACUGUUUGUCUUGGGCUGAUUGUUUAAAAGUCUCUGUGCAUUUAUCAAAUUCAAUUACUAAAAGGCAAAACAAAUAAUACCUGGAAGCGUUUUUAUUCAAGAAAAUGAUAGAAUAUUUGUAAAAGGGAUUUCUCCACCAUAGCAUGCAAGGUAAACAGUAGUGAUUGGAACGAUGGUCACUAUUGCUAGUUGUGGAAUGGAAUAGGGCUGCAGUAUAAACUCAUGGAUUAUUUUAUCACAGUCUGUUUGCAGACUUCAUUUUUGUCUUCCACCUCCAGAGUGCCGGAAUAGCUUGCCUGUGCCUCUCCUUUUCCCUCCCUAAUAUGGCAAUGACACCUGGCCCAUUUCUCAUGCAGGAAAGUAUUAAAGCUCUAGCAGGUAUCUCCAUGACAACAGAGAUUGUUUUGUUUUCCCUGUAUCCUCCGUACUGGGAACAGUCUCUUUCUUACAGCAGGCAUCCAAAGAUAUGUAUGGGAAGGAUGAAUAUAUCAGAACUUGCCUCAAGGCCCAUGGGAGAAAGAGAUCAGGAAGAACUUUGUGUAAAGAAAAUGCAAUGGUUGAGCCUUUGAAUGGGGGAGAAGUGUUGAUACUAAUGUUACAGGAGACACGGAAGGCUUUGUCCUGGCAUGUGGGUAUAUGGCUUGGGCUCUGAGGCAGACAACCUGUGAUGUCUGCUAAUCCCAAGGUCCCAACCUGUCCCAGGACUAUCCCAUAAGCUGAACAUCCAUGGUCUUACAGAUUCUGACAUGCAGGAACUACAAGGGCUCUUGUCCUCCAAGCUGACCUACCCUUGGCUUGUACGACGAGAAAACUGAGGUCGAGAGAGUCACCCAGAAGCAGAGCAGAGACUGGAAUCCAAGCUCCGGAUUUUUAGUGAAAAAGACCCCUUUUCCUUCCAGAGGAAACAUUCCAUCAUUUGAAAACUAAAUGCUGAUUGUUUGCGCGUUACUUUGCCUUGUUCAAGUGUGGAGAGAAGAAUUGGUUUCUUUCAAAGUUUAGUGGUGGUCUUGUUUAUAGGGGAAUGCUGGACAGCCGAAAGAUUUUACCAAGAAAUCGCUGGGUUUCCUAACAAUCCCUUGGUAUAAAAUAUUACCGAGGCCAUCUCCUCAUCCAGCCCGUGUGUGUUUUUCCUUCCCUCUUGAAAUUGUCAAACUGACAUAAUUAACUAAGCUGUUAGCUAAAUAAAUCACUGGAUCCCAGCAAGAAUUUUUACUGAGAUAUCAUUGCCCCCGCACCACACUGCGUGAAGGACUGUCAACACCGCGUUGAUAGAUGUAUGGCAAAGGAUUCUGUUUGAGAGACAGCUCUCUCCUUCUCCCUGAGCAUCGAACAUGGCUGGCAGGCUACAGAACAGAUGUCAUGGAGCGUAUGUGAGAAAUCCACCAAUUCCUUAGAGUAUUUUGAUCCCACAAGGUUCACGGAGCCUGAAGGCACGUGGAAUGCAGACUGAUAGCCCAGGGGUGGACUCCAGUCCUGGUGGGCCUCAAGCAGAAGCUGCGGUUACUCUGCAGUUGUUUUUUUGUAGAGAACUGUGCUCUGACACAGGGGAUGCCCUUACUAACCUCCAGAAGUCUCUGACAUCCCCUGAGGUAGAUGAACACACUGUUAUUGCUUUACUUUUAUUUUUAGGAAUAUUCAUUUGUUAGCUCUUUAAGAGCAGGGCCCACUCUGUCUUUUUUUUUUUUUUUUUUUUUUUGCAGUACACGGGCCUCUCACCGUUGUGGCCUCUCCCGUUGCGGAGCACAGGCUCCGGACGCGCAGGCUCAGCGGCCAUGGCUCACGGGCCCAGCCACUCCGCGGCAUGUGGGAUCUUCCCGGACCGGGGCACGAACCCGCGUCCCCUGUAUCGGCUGGCGGCCUCUCAACCACUGCGCCACCAGGGAAGCCCCCACUCCGUCUUUUGAUCUAUGUGGCUCAUCGCAGAGCCAUCUGGUAAAGAAACAGAGGCUGAAAGAUCACGACUGGGGUGGUCAGUCUGUCAAGGAAUUCAGAACGCCGAGGCACCAGGCCCUCGGGUGAUGGACGGCUGCUCCUGCACUCGGUUUAAUUAGAAGCAUGGCUAAUGGCCAGAGACUUGGAAGAGAGAUUAUAGAUUCAUUAAUUAGGUUCAUGUUUA
Orcinus orca (killer whale) is the source of this 10677-nucleotide long non-coding RNA. RefSeq lists it as uncharacterized. Lineage: Eukaryota; Metazoa; Chordata; Mammalia; Artiodactyla; Delphinidae. The record is from RefSeq and is a predicted model, not a curated record. The transcript is spliced from 3 exons.